UCAUAAUUUCAGCAGGAGACAACUUCUUCUGGUCGGAGGACAUGUCUGCAAUCUAACAGCAAUGAGGGUUACUGCUGUCUGACCACAGAGGAUCAUGUUAUGUAUCAGAUACACCAUGUCUACAAGAUGUGACCUGGAUUGAGUUAACAUUUGGUUCCUUUUCAGCGCUGUUGAGAUAAUUCGCUAGACGUUGAGAUUUCCAGAAGGCCAGUUUUCUUGUUUAUCCAUGGUUGACGCAUACAUCCCCUGAUGAAGUCUAGAGGCGAAACAUGUCAAGAUAACGUAUGACUAUUCAACCUUCAGAAAACUUCCAUAUAUAACCACCACUCUGGAUCUACCCUACACUAACGACCUCUUGUGGCUUGUUACUCAUUUUUAAUCUUUUGUAUAAUAAAGAUAAUUCAUAUUUACGUUUUAA
Molecule: long non-coding RNA, 418 nt
Organism: Rana temporaria (common frog)
Lineage: Eukaryota; Metazoa; Chordata; Amphibia; Anura; Ranidae
Exons: 2
Source: RefSeq, a predicted model, not a curated record